AGAAUCAACGCUGGCGGCGUGCCUAACACAUGCAAGUCGAACGCGAAAGCCCCGCAAGGGGUAAGUAGAGUGGCAAACGGGUGAGUAACACGUGGGUGACCUGCCUUCGAGUGGGGGAUAACGUCCCGAAAGGGACGCUGAUACCGCAUGACAUCCUGUUCUUAGACGGACGGAGAUCAAAGCUGGGGAUCGCAAGACCUGGCGCUUGAAGAGGGGCCCGCGCCUGAUUAGCUAGUUGGUGAGGUAACGGCUCACCAAGGCUACGAUCAGUA
RNAcentral lists this ribosomal RNA (272 nucleotides) under uncultured soil bacterium. RNAcentral's name for it is "partial 16S ribosomal RNA". It matches the Rfam family "Bacterial small subunit ribosomal RNA", at positions 26 to 285 of the family's 1533-position model. The record is from RNAcentral.